CCUCAGAGCGAGCUUCCACCUUUACGUGGUUCUGGGGAUGAGUACGCGUGAAGCGGAAACCAAGAGAAGC
This 70-nucleotide non-coding RNA is filed under the name Parastagonospora nodorum SN15. The record is from RNAcentral. Lineage: Eukaryota; Fungi; Ascomycota; Dothideomycetes; Pleosporales; Phaeosphaeriaceae.